UGCUUGCACUUGGAUGGACUGAGUGGCGGACGGGUGAGUAACGCGUGGGUAACCUGCCCUUCAGAGGGGGACAACAGUUGGAAACGACUGCUAAUACCGCAUAAGCGCACAGCAUCGCAUGAUGCAGUGUGAAAAACUCCGGUGGUAUAAGAUGGACUCGCGUCCAAUUAGCUAGUUGGUGAGGUAACGGCCCACCAAGGCGACGAUUGGUAGCCGGACUGAGAGGUUGAACGGCCACAUUGGGACUGAGACACGGCCCAGACUCC
This 266-nucleotide ribosomal RNA is filed under the name uncultured Eubacteriales bacterium. RNAcentral describes it as "uncultured Clostridiales bacterium partial 16S ribosomal RNA". It matches the Rfam family "Bacterial small subunit ribosomal RNA", at positions 77 to 339 of the family's 1533-position model. Lineage: Bacteria; Bacillati; Bacillota; Clostridia; Eubacteriales. The record is from RNAcentral.